Molecule: long non-coding RNA, 1373 nt
Filed under: Aquilegia coerulea
Lineage: Eukaryota; Viridiplantae; Streptophyta; Magnoliopsida; Ranunculales; Ranunculaceae
Description: long non-coding RNA (ACOE_LNC001719)
Source: RNAcentral
UUGUCGGAGUUUGUUUUUGUAAGCAAGCUUCUUUUUCGCUUGAUCAAAAUUGAUCUAUUCCUCUCAGGUAAGAAUCGAAGCCCCUUUGUUCAUUGUGUAUGUUGUAUUGUGGCCUAUACUUGCAAAAUGAUAUUUUGUAUCAAAUGUGGUAUAUAUUUUAUCUUAGUUUUAUGAUGAUUUAUUAUAAACAAAUGAACUAUGUUGCAGUGAUAUUUGUUUAUGAUGUAAUCAUUGUGUAUUUUAAGAUAAAAAGUUAUAAACAACUGAACUAUGUUGCAGUGAUAGUUGUUUAUGACCCAUCAUUUGUAUACUGUAAUGUGGUGCUUGUACUUGCAAAUCUGAUAUUUUUCAAAGCAAAUGUGCCAUUUUAUCUUAGCUUAAUGAUGAUUUGUUAUAAACAAUUGAACUAUGUUGCAGUGAUAGUUGUCUAUGAUGUAAUCGUUGUUUAUUUAAGAUAAAAGUUAAAAAGAACUGAACUAUGUUGCAGUGAUAGUUGUUUAUAACCAUCAUUUGUAUUGAUUUGGUUAAUGUUUUAAAGGAUAAUAUAUUUUGUACAUAAGUGUAGGUAUUAUCCUUUUUUCAUUUUUUUUAUGUAUAUCUAUGCAUGUUUUAAUAUAAUGAUUGAAAGAUACCAUGAUGAGAUUUAUUUGUAAUAGGCGUUAUGGUUAGAUAUGCAUGUUAUGUGGUCAAGAUUGGGUUCAACCCUGGUAUCUACACAACUUGGGAAGAAUGUGAGGCCCAAACAAAAUAUUUCCCGAACUCAUCUUUCAAGGGUUGUCAUUCGUUUGAUCAAACGAAAGCUUUGUUUAAUGACUACAAUAGAAAUGGGGUUGCAUUAGGUGUUGUCCAUCAUGAGAGAAAACAAGUUCCCCAAGUCGGUCUUUCGCGUCCACUUGAACCAGUGGUUGCGCAACAAGUACACAACCCUAUUGAGCCACGCAUUCCACAACCUGUUGCAUUGUUUCCAACUGGACUUCUGCCUCAAUCAAAUUAUAUGGGAUUGAUCAUGAAGUUGGUGGUUGUUGUGUUAUUUCUGAUAAUUGCAGUAUUGUUGAAGUUGUUAAUUGUUCUGUAAUAAUUAACACUUGUGUACGAAUUAAUAGUUCGAGUACUUUACAUUAAUUGUUCAAUACAUAUAUAAUUGAUAAUGUCACUUAAUUUUAAUGGAUGGGUUUGUCGAAUGUUAUUUGUUUAGUAUGACAUGUAAUUGUUGGAGGUUUUGUAGAAUGUUGACUGCAGCAGAGCACGAACACCGACGUAGGGUAGUUGUGGUUGCAGUAGUAAUUCUAGCAGUUGACGCUUUCCUUAGACACAGCGGUUGGUAUAGAAGGUCAAAGAGAAUCCCUAGGUUGGCCUACACUUACAAUAGGAAU